AAAUGGUUUUGUGUUGCAGAUGGAGUUUGUGUCCAAAGUAGAGAGCAUCCUGGUUGUGUUUGGGAUGUCAAAUUCUUGGAGAAUGGUGAUAUUGUGACUGCAUGUUCUGAUGGAGUUGUGCGUAUUUGGACAAUACAUCAGGAUAAGAUUGCUAACUCGUCCGAGCUUGAAUCCUUUGCUUCUCAACUUUCUUAUUACAAGUGUAGCAGGAAGAGGGUUGGAGGAUUGAAAUUGGAAGAAUUACCAGGGCUAGAGGCUUUAUAGGUUCCAGGAACAAGAGAUGGCCAGACAAAGGUUGUAAGAGAAGGGGACAAUGGUGUAGCAUAUUCAUGGAAUAUGAAGGAGCAGCAGUGGGAUAAGGUAUUUCCUUCAUUUUAUUAUCUUUUCAGCCCUUCGUCUCAUGGUUAAUUUUUUUACGCCUUCUCCACCAAUUGUUUAAACUUUUUUAUGCAUUGUUGUAUUAUUUUUUUUUAAUAUUUGGGCUUUGAAAUAAUCUUUUGCUGCUCUAUAAAGGUCACAUGCAGUGUUUUGAUGGGACAUUUUUUACACCCAGUUUAGAUGAAAAUGACCGGAUUGUGAUGUGAUGAAUGAGGUGUUGAUAUAUUGUAAUGGAUGGGUAUUAAGGCUGAAGUUAUUGUUUUUAAACCUGCCUGAUUUAUUACUGUUUUUUUUAAUCUCCUUUUGCAGUAUUUCUGACCUUUUUUUCUGCCUUGGGUUUGUGGUAUUAUACUUAUUUGACCAUGUAAUUAGCAGGAAAAUUUGAGCCUGCUGAUGCAUUAUGUGCAAUAUAAUGAGUGGCUUCUAGUAGCAACUAAUGUAGUUGCCAUUGGUCCUUCUCCAUUGAAUGGCUAAUUUUUAAUCCAUCUCCUUUGAUUUGUGUGUGUAAUGAGGAUGAUGUGCCAUGUUUGGCAAUUUUAGUAACAAGUUGUUCAUGCCUAGGGCUGUAAAAUGAAUCAACCUAGCUUUCAUUUGGCUUGGUGUAGACAAGGAUCAUAUCCUUGAUAAGGGAAGGGGUAUAACAUGCCAGGUGAUGGGGGAGUUCUGGGAAACGAACUGGUGAGGGGUGAGGCAGUCCCUGUGACCAGAGAGUGACAGUUGAGAGAGAAAGUAUAGUAUAUAUCCCAAGUCCUUCGAAGUUUUCCCUUGGGAAUGCGGUUACUGUGCUGUAGUGUAAAAGUAUAGUAAAAAUAACAUUUCCAUUUACUUUUCUUUCCUUAUUAUUUCAUAUUAUGAUCUAGCCUUAUAGAGCUCAGUUACGAAUGCUGAUUUUGUCAUCCACUAGUGCAUUUAUUUGUGGACAGGCCAAAUGAUUGAACUUUUCAAGAAAUGGUUAACACCCUCAAAAUUCUUUUUGUCUAACACUAGCCCUCAUAUAGUUCCGUUGCAAAGGACAUGUUUUGGUUUGUGGCUAGAAAGAUUUUAGAAAGGAAAGGGACAAGCGAUGAUUUGGACAUUUGGUGAUGUGCAAUCAUAGACUUACCAGAGGCUGACCAAAAAAAAAAA
This is a non-coding RNA of Camellia sinensis, 1503 nucleotides long. Lineage: Eukaryota; Viridiplantae; Streptophyta; Magnoliopsida; Ericales; Theaceae. The record is from RefSeq and is a predicted model, not a curated record.